RNAcentral lists this long non-coding RNA (4210 nucleotides) under Lactuca sativa (garden lettuce). RNAcentral describes it as "long non-coding RNA (LSAT_LNC003256)". The record is from RNAcentral. Lineage: Eukaryota; Viridiplantae; Streptophyta; Magnoliopsida; Asterales; Asteraceae.
AGGAAUCUAGUCCUCUUGGCAUCCGUUCCCACUCACAAUUACUAAUAUUACUAGCUCUGGGAAAUGGAUAACCGGCUCCCCAACAUCAGCCGUCCGAUUUUCUUGAGAUUCAAUCCAGUUCUGCAAUAACUCUCUAUUUAUAGGUUUUUGGCGAUUCCUCUUCUCCCCAUGUUCUGCACAAUCACCGGUGUCUACUCCCACAUCUGGAAUCGGUUUCCCUACCACGUUCCCAUGAACGGUUCCUCACCCCCAAGUUGUAUAAAUAGAUAGGAAAGAAAACCAAAGACCGGUUGCACCUUCAUAAAUAUUCAAUCGAUUCCUCCUCUAGAUUAAAUACGAAUUUGUGUUUAGACGUCGUCAUUGUCAAAUCAUCGAUGGAAAGGCAUGUAAAUCCACCAUUUAACGAAGACUGGCGACUGGAAAUGGCACUCACAAUUUCUUAUUCUCUUGAUCAUCAAUUCUCAUCUCCAAUGCUUCCGUCUUCUAAACACAUAUGGAGCUAACAUCGCCUGAAAUCUCUUCACCAAAGGUAAAAAUCGUUCACUUAAGUAUCUUUUAAGUUUGCAAAUUUCUAGGUUUUUAAUAUCCGAAAUCAAUUUCUAUUUGAUGGCAUCCCUAGAGACCUGGUCAUAGAAUAGCCAAAUCAGAGAUACUAAAAUCUGCUUCUUCCUUUUCUUCUGAGUUGAAUCCUUUCAUUGCUCAUGUGAUUAACUAUGGACGAGAGAUCAACCAAACAUAUGGGAAGUGUCGAUGCCUGAUUUGGCUCGAUUUGAACACUAAUUCCCUCAGUAGGAUCCUCCCCAUCUCCACCUUUUCUUUCUUUGCAAUCCAGGUCGCUGCACCAUUACGAUUGUAUCCUCGGCACUGCUUUCUUCUUGAAAAGGUUUAAUCGGUUGCCCCGGAUGAAAUGAUGGAACCUUACCUCUUAUAAGGUAACCAGUUUGUUAUUCUUUAUAUCUAUGAAUUUAUCACUAACAUUGAAACUAAAAAACGAAUCAAUCAUUUUUGUUUCUGAAGUUGAGUUUGAAGUUAUUCCUACUCUUGGAAUUUUCUGACGAGGGUUAGGCUUGUUAGUCAAUGGUUGACCAAGUAUUCAGGAGGGUAAAAGCACGUGGGUGACUGGAACGUUGGAAUAGGGAUGUUGCUAAUUUUUCUCUUUUUCUGUUAAGUAGCUUUAUUUGUUAGUUUUGAUUCAGCAAGUUAUAAUUAGUCGAAAAUUCCUGUAUAGCAAUUAGGCAUUUGAAGGCUUAUGAAGACCGACUCCGGCUCCGGAAGGCAAGCACACAGGCAGAUAAUGCCCUGCUACUUGCCAAGGCAGAAGGCACAUCAACCCACCGGAGUCCAAGUAAGCCAAACACAUCGGGUGGAGCUUCCAUGUGGCUUCUUCUUAUCGAUAAGUUCAAUAAAAACUAUCGAUGUGGAAAGCUAGAACUCUUUCAAUUGGAUAGCGUUUAACGCUUGUUAAGUUUGUGCUUGGAAGCCUUGGAAUGUACAUUUUAUCGAUCUAUAGUGUCCUAGAAAAAUCAUAACAAUGCUUGAAAGUAUCAGAAACGUGUUCCUUUUGGGAAAUUCUACAGUUCACAAAGAAAAUCACUUGGAUAGCUUAGAACAAAACGAUGAAAUCCAAAGAACUUGGUAGGUUGCAAAUUGGGAACUGAAAAGCUUUCAAUCUUAUUCUUAUCUUGAAAUGGUGGUGGAGGUUUAGGGUUCAUACUAACACAAUUUGGAAAAGCGUUAUUAGGUGCAUUUAUGGUGAUCGUGGGAGGUUCGGAUUGUCAACUUUAGUGUCUUAUAGGACGACCAUGUGGGGCAUAAUCAAUAAUGUCAACAUCGAUCUAGAACGUCUUAACAUCUACUUAAAUGAAUUCUUUUACAGAACUGGUGAUACAGGGGGAAGUCAUUCCCAUGAAAUUUGUGUUGGAGUAUCACUGAAGGAGGAGAGUUUAUUGUAUCUUCCCUAAGGAAGUAAAUUGACAAUAACUUCUUGGAUUGCACACACUUCUUACUAUCUAGUCUAAGUUGGUUCCAAAGAACAUAAACGUCUUCAUUUGUAGAUCAGGACUUAGGAGACAUUCCACUAGAUUGAAUCCAGCACGGAGGUAGUGAAUAUUUCACACAUCUCAUUUAUGUUGUGCAAUGCUUUUAAGGAGACGGAAGUACAUAUUUUCAAGGAUUGCUCCAUAACAGAGGAAUUAAAAGGAAAAAUGCUCACUUAGUGGAAAGACUUACCUGCCAUUAAUGACUCAUUAGAAGACGUGUUGGGGGUGAAUUUUAACUACACUAGGGGCAACAAUAGAGAAAAAAAUUUGGAGGCGAUUUUAAGGGCGUUCUUAUGGACCAUCUGAAUACGAACGAAAUAUAUUCAAUAACAAAGUGGAGGGAUCGAUUAUACUAGCUUAUGAUGCCAAGGCUUUGGCCUUUUAUGCCUAAGAAUAGAGCUAAUGCAGCAUCCCAUUUUCACAAACAAAAUUUUCAUGUUUAAUUUAGGUAAAACCACCAGUUCCAUAAAACCCAUGUUAAGAAAACCCCAUUUGUUCCAUGAUACACUAGUUUGAAAAUCAGAGUAAUAUAGUAAAUGUGUAAUCUCCAAAACUGAUGAUGAGUGUAUUGGAUUAAGGUGUCUAAGCCAGUGACUAACAACUAACUUGAUAUAUUCUUGUAAUUAGAAGCGAAUUCCAUUUCGGGUUGCCCUCAUGACCAAAACUGGCUACAAAUGAUUUUAGGAGAGAGAAGUAUAAUUUAUUAUAUUAUUAUAUGAUUAAUAAACUAAGUGGAAGUUAUACGGAAAUGAUUUGUUAAUAUAUUAUGUGAUUAAUAUAUUAAUUGGAGAUACAUAGUUGACUUGUUGAUUUAUUAUGUGAUUAAUAAAUUAAUAUAAGAUCAAAUGUGAAAUAAUUGUUUUGUUAAUUUAUAUUAUUAAUAAAUUAAUCCCAAUGGUUCGUGGAGAUGACAUAAAUUGACUUAUGACACUCACCAGAAAAGGAAUGUUUGGACGUGUAAUCGUCAGGUAGUUUAAUUUUGCUACAAUUCUUCUCUAUUUCUCUGGUUUCUCAAGCGGAUCUCCUUCAUCUACUUUCAAUUUCAUAUUUAGAACCACUGGAGACUCGUAAGGUUUUGUUUCAAUCAUCCCAAAUUCCUUCAAAAUAUCCAAGCAAUAUUUCCGCUGAGACAAACAGAUCCCUUUUCGAGUACGAGAGACUUCAAUUCCCAAAAAAUAUUUUAAAGGACCUAGGUCUUUUGUUUGAAACCGAGAUGCAAGGAAAUCUUUCAGCUUCUUAAUUCUAGUUCCAUCACUCCUUGUACUCACAAUCUCAUCAACAUAUACCACUAAUAGAAUGCAUCCUGAAGACGAUGAAGCAAAGAACACAAAAUGAUCAUAGCAAGUGAAUAUGGAUGAAACAUAGUAACCAAACAUCAUACAUUAAAGAUACCAACAUAUAUUGUUUACAAAUUGUACUUGUUCAUCGAUUACCCAAAAAUAACAUAAAUUAUGGUGUCUAAAAAGAAAAGUAGUAGGAUAUCCAGAUCCAAGGCUCGAGUACCUGUUCACUUGCUGAGUCCCUGAGAAUACAAGUCGUUUUGAAAAGCGACAACAUAGAAUGUUAGUGAGUUCAUCAGCAUAUUUGUAGGAAAAACUUUGUAAUAUCUUUGUUUAUAAUAAGUUAUAAAACUCCAUAAAAACCAAUAUUUUCUAUAAAAAGUAGUUUCUGAGUCUCGUUCCAAAAUUGUGUAUAGUUGCAUGCAUGUUCUUUAUUUUCCUUUGUUUGUAUUAUAAAGAGUGUAUUCCAGAAAAUCCUAUAUUUUCUGUAUAUAAAAGAGUUGUGGUCUUAAAACCCUAAGACCAGAGUGGUGAGAUUAGCUUGCUUACAAAGUAAACGAACAUAACUUUGUGCUUUAUAAAACUAGUAGAGUGUAUAUUCUUCGUAAAUCCUAAUUAAUAUAGUCCUUCUCUAUAUGAGUCGUUACAACCAUAUUAAUAUGACUAAAGUGCCUGUCUUGAUGUUCUUUAGGCGUCGACUUCUAAAGAUAUUUGUCACCCUAAACUGGCCCGUCUAGCUAUAGCGAACAACUCAGGUGUGGGGGUGUCAACCCGGUAUAAAUCUAUACACAAUUACCUCGCUCUCCCUUCAGGAGACUCUGGUUAUAACUAUAGGACUUAUGAUGUACGCUAGGUAGGUACGGCGAAGGAGAGUCUCACAAGAGCGUUAAC